This 697-nucleotide ribosomal RNA is filed under the name Sporothrix fusiformis. RNAcentral's name for it is "eukaryotic LSU rRNA". It matches the Rfam family "Eukaryotic large subunit ribosomal RNA", at positions 148 to 873 of the family's 3401-position model. RNAcentral also lists the same sequence under 2 other names. Lineage: Eukaryota; Fungi; Ascomycota; Sordariomycetes; Ophiostomatales; Ophiostomataceae. The record is from RNAcentral.
AUUUGGAGAGGAUGCUUUUGGCGCGGCGCCGUCCGAGUUCCUUGGAACAGGACGCCACAGAGGGUGAGAGCCCCGUACGGACGGACGCCUAGCCUCUACAAAGCUCCUUCGACGAGUCGAGUAGUUUGGGAAUGCUGCUCAAAAUGGGAGGUAAAUUUCUUCUAAAGCUAAAUACCGGCCAGAGACCGAUAGCGCACAAGUAGAGUGAUCGAAAGAUGAAAAGCACUUUGAAAAGAGGGUUAAAAAGUACGUGAAAUUGUUGAAAGGGAAGCGCCUGUGACCAGACUUGCGCCCCGUGGACCAUCCGGCGUUCUCGCCGGUGCACUCUGCGGGGCGCAGGCCAGCAUCGGUUCUCCUAGGGGGAUAAAGGCCGCGGGAACGUAGCUCCUUCGGGAGUGUUAUAGCCCGUGGUGGCAUGCCCCUGGGGGGACCGAGGACCGCGCUUCGGCAAGGAUGCUGGCGUAAUGGUCACCAGCGACCCGUCUUGAAACACGGACCAAGGAGUCAAGCAUUGGGGCGAGUGUAUGGGUGCCAAACCCGCACGCGAAAUGAAAGUAAACGCAGGUGAGAGCUUCGGCGCAUCAUCGACCGAUCCUGAUGUCUUCGGAUGGAUUUGAGUAAGAGCCUUACCGCUUGGACCCGAAAGAUGGUGAACUAUGCCUGAAUAGGGUGAAGCCAGAGGAAACUCUGGUGGAGG